GGGUCCAGAAGCUGUUACAGCUUCUGGAGGUUUUUCGUUAGCCGGGCCGCUAACU
Molecule: non-coding RNA, 55 nt
Filed under: Desulfobacterales bacterium
Lineage: Bacteria; Pseudomonadati; Thermodesulfobacteriota; Desulfobacteria; Desulfobacterales
Description: Li+-I sequence
Rfam family: nhaA-I RNA
About the family: Acidobacteria, Alphaproteobacteria, Betaproteobacteria and Gammaproteobacteria, Verrucomicrobia, cand. division NC10. Downstream gene
Source: RNAcentral